RNAcentral lists this ribosomal RNA (433 nucleotides) under uncultured bacterium. Its description in RNAcentral is "partial 16S ribosomal RNA". It matches the Rfam family "Bacterial small subunit ribosomal RNA", at positions 29 to 507 of the family's 1533-position model. The record is from RNAcentral.
AACGAACGCUGGCGGCAGGCCUAACACAUGCAAGUCGAGCGGACCCUUCGGGGCUAGCGGCGGAGGGGUGAGUAACGCGUGGGAAUAUGCCCUUCUCUACGGAAUAGUCCUGGGUAACUGGGGGUAAUACCGUAUACGCCCUUUUGCGGAAUGAUUUCUCGGGGAAGGAUGAGCCCGGGGUGGAUUAGUUAGUUGGUGGGGUAAUGGCCUACCAAGCAGUCGAUCUAUAGCUGGAUUGAGAGGGUGAUCAGGCACACUGGGACUGCGACACCGCCCGGGCUGAAAAGGGAAGAAGCAGUGGGGAAUCGAAGAAAAGGGGGGCAACCCGGAACGAGCCAUGCCGCGUGAGAAAUGAAGGCCGUAAGGUUGGAAGGCACUUUCAGCUGGGAAGAGAAGAACGGUACCAGCAGAAGAAGCCCCGGCUAACUACGUG